This 471-nucleotide long non-coding RNA is filed under the name Androctonus crassicauda. The record is from RNAcentral. Lineage: Eukaryota; Metazoa; Arthropoda; Arachnida; Scorpiones; Buthidae.
AGGCGACGGGAGAUUCGGCCCAGUUACUGAUGUUUGUGUUCCUUUUAAUCAAGACUUUCCCUUUUUCCUGUACAUUAGCUUCUUGUGAGCAAGGACCCGAGGUCCCCCUCUGUCGGGAGUCGGGCUCUGGUGACUCUGGAGGCAGGGGCUGCAUCUAUUUUCAGAUGCUUCGGGCUGGAGUGCCCUGAUGUCUAGCCAUGCCUUAGCUGGGCUGUGCGGCCACCGUGGGGAGGAUGCGGCGUCCGCAGGGAGGAAAGAUAGAGGAUGUUUAACGCACCGGGAAGGGUAAAUGAAUCUAUUUUUGUACAAAUGUAAUUUUAUCCCUCAUGUAAACUGGAUAGCGUGGCGGGGGACCUGUUUUGUUUCUGCUUUGAGUGUCAAGAAGCGUUGGGACACCCUGACGCCCAGGCGGCAGAGGAGGCCCUCACCAGGAGGCUGAAGGCUCCUGAGAACAGCACAGACAGACACUUC